Molecule: long non-coding RNA, 2162 nt
Filed under: Homo sapiens (human)
Lineage: Eukaryota; Metazoa; Chordata; Mammalia; Primates; Hominidae
Description: LHRI_LNC1898.2
Source: RNAcentral
GCGGGAGGAGGAAGAAGGGGUCAGCUUCAAGCCUGACGUUCUAGGGGGGAGCCGCUUCUUAAGUACGUGCUAGGAUCAAGGGUGCAUUUGCAAACUUUUCAAAAUGCCUUAGAGGAGGUAGGAGUCAAGCCCUUGGGAUCUGGAGGGGAAGGAGGAGAGUCAGUUAAACCGCAGAAAGGUUGGUGGGGAGUGGGCUCAGUAAUGGCCCCUGUCACAGCCUCGGGCCGGGACUCGCCAGCUCAUUUUCUAUUUCUAACUCAAUGCCAGGCACUGAGCACUGUGCUCAACCUAGUAAUUUGGAGACGGAGGUGGAUAUGCAUAUAACAGAACAGGAUGCUCUCCGGACAAACGUUCUGAAGGAAAAGCAAACGGAAGAUCCUCCCGCCUCUGCUGGGCAGUCUCUAAUGACCCCUGGGCCCACAGGACACUUGCUCUCUCUUUCUUGUGACCCCAACAUGUCAGCUGGCAAGACUCAACAUUCCUGUCUGGGACUGAGCAGCUUGAACCACUUGUAUGAGUCACAGAAAAGGAGAAUCAUACCCCCAUUCCACCACCCCACUCCAACCCCUCCACUGUGGCUCCAAUGUUACAGACCACUCCUAACUUCAGUCCCGGAAGAAUGGAAGGAAGGCUGCAACUUAAGAGACUGCGGUUAGAAGUGAUCUUCAUAAAUUGUUUGCCUUGCCUGUGUCUAGAGUCCUUAAGAUGGAGUGAAGGUACCUGAGCGCAGGAACCAUGGUCUUCAUUGCUGCCUCAGCAUUAGCGGAAGUGCCACGGGCCGGCUCCCAGGGGGCCAGAGUUUCCCAGGAACACCAUUGAGUACCACUGAACUAGAGUCUGCAAGUUAAAGUAAGGCAAGAAGGAAAACCGGAAACAACUGUAAAAACCUGACCUUUCGUCACCUUAAUACUGGCCAUCAUUUAUCGAGUGCUUAUUAUGUAACAGACAUUGUUCUCAGUGUGUGAGUGCAGUGUUCCUCAAACCUAAAUGUGGGCCUGAAUCGCAGCGGAUCUUGGUAAAAUGCAGUUUCUCAUUCAGUACCUCUGGGGUGCGGCCUGAGAUUCUGCAUUUCCAACAAGCUCCCAGGAUACUUUGUAUAGAAAGGCUUUGGUGUAUUAACUAACUCGAUCUUCUUAAUAAUCCUAUGAAAUACUACUGCUAUUCCCAUUUUACAGAUGAGGAAACAGAGGUUAAGCAUAUAUGAACUUACAUCAAAAUAAAUAGACUGCAGGGCAAGGAGGGAGGGGAGAAUAGUGUGGGCAGUGUACAGUGCAGAAACAAAGUUCUAGGCAGAGGAAAAAGGAUUUACAGAAAGCCUGGCAUACAGGGCAGGGGGACGGGGCCUGCACACGGGGCUGUUUCACCGUUAGACGUUAUAAGCACAGUACUUGGGGCUAUGGGCUUCCUGAAGGUCCCAAGUAUUUGAGACCUGAAAAAAAUUUAUUGACACCUACAUAGGAAAAGUGAACUUUUAAAUUAAUAAUUCCAAAAUUCAAAUCACGAAUUGUUUCAAAAAUUUUACAUGAUAGAAUUCAUAUUUAGUAAGCGAUACGGGUAUAUUUUAAUGCAUUUGAUUUUAAAAACGGGGUAGGGCCUACUAAGAACAGGCCAAGCCCUGGCCCCAGUGGGUUUGGAUAUAAUCCUGAGGGCAGCUGGGAACCACUGAGAGAAGCAGGAGAAUGUUCUCUGUGGCUACAGUGAGGAGAAUGGAUUGGAGGGAGGCCAGACUGGAGGCCCAGUGGCUAGAGACCAGAUAGGCAGUUACAGUCUUCCAGACUGCGAGACAAUCUCUCUUUAGUGCCAAGAUUAGCAUAAAAUCAUAGCAUUAUAUAACCCAAUUAUUCUUUGAUUCCUGCAUCCCCAAUCUGACUCAGCAUUCUAAAUUUACUUAAGAUCUGGGGACAAGGGUUUUUGGCAAAUCCUUGAAGGCAAAUGAUGUUACAGUCAAUCAGUAUAUGCCUUGAGCCAGACAGACAUGGGUACGGGCCUCAGUUCUGCUGCUUGCUAGCUAUGUGACUUUGCACAAGUGAUUUAACUUCUCUGGGCCUUGGAUUCCUUACUGGUAACACGAGCAUAAUCGAUUCCUCACAGAAUUAAGUGAGAAAACUAUGUAUGUAGGACUUCUUAUGGAGUGGGUACUUAGAAAUAAAUGGUAGCCGUUA